Molecule: long non-coding RNA, 630 nt
Filed under: Medicago truncatula (barrel medic)
Lineage: Eukaryota; Viridiplantae; Streptophyta; Magnoliopsida; Fabales; Fabaceae
Description: lncRNA gene32592
Source: RNAcentral
GCAUCAUCACCGUCUAUUUCAGAUUUGUUACUCUUCCUCCGCCUAACCCAUUCCAUGACCACUACAGCUACAACAUCUAUGGAGCACCACUAAAGCUAGAGAAAUCAACAUUUCUGUUCUAAUUUUCAUUAUUUUUUUUCUUAUAGGUUGCUUUGGAUAUCGAGUACCACCAUAACAUAUUACUAUCCCACCGAAAAGUGAAUUCCAAGGAAGUUAUAGUUUGAUGGUAUUCAACUGGUGGGUGGUGGCAGUGCAUUAAUCCAUGAAUUUUAUUAUCGAGGACACGUUGAUUAGAUAUCAAGUGGAGCUGAAACUCACCGAUAUUAAGAAAAAACAUCGGCGAACAUAGAUAUAUUGCUGAGAAUUGUUGUCAGAGUUAGUGAAAGUCAGGAAUAUAUAGUUGGAGGUAAUUUGUAUAGUUGUGUUUUAUUUUGUAAAGAAUGACUUUGAAAAUUAAAAAAAAAAGAGAGACAUGAGAAGCAAGAUAUCUCGUGUUAACGGAUUCAAAAUAUGAACGUAAUUGUGGAAUGACUCAACACUAGACUAGAUUAGUUGUUUGAAGCAGGUGUUACUGUGGAAGUAAACUGAAAGAAUGUUGAAGUAAAUUGAAAGAAUGUGAAAAAAAAGGUA